GACGAACGCUGGCGGCGUGCUUAACACAUGCAAGUCGAACGGAAAGACCCUGCUUUUGUGGGGUGCUCGAGUGGCGAACGGGUGAGUAACACGUGAGUAACCUGCCCUUGACUUUGGGAUAACUUCAGGAAACUGGGGCUAAUACCGGAUAGGAGCUCCUGCUGCAUGGUGGGGGUUGGAAAGUUUCGGCGGUUGGGGAUGGACUCGCGGCUUAUCAGCUUGUUGGAGGGGUAGUGGCUUACCAAGGCUUUGACGGGUAGCCGGCCUGAGAGGGUGACCGGCCACAUUGGGACUGAGAUACGGCCCAGACUCCUACGGGAGGCAGCAGUGGGGAAUAUUGCACAAUGGGCGGAAGCCUGAUGCAGCAACGCCGCGUGCGGGAUGAAGGCCUUCGGGUUGUAAACCGCUGUAGCCUGUGACGAAGCGUGAGUGACGGUAAUGGGUAAAGAAGCACCGGCUAACUACGUG
RNAcentral lists this ribosomal RNA (468 nucleotides) under uncultured bacterium. RNAcentral describes it as "partial 16S ribosomal RNA". It matches the Rfam family "Bacterial small subunit ribosomal RNA", at positions 28 to 507 of the family's 1533-position model. The record is from RNAcentral.